Molecule: ribosomal RNA, 477 nt
Filed under: uncultured organism
Description: partial 16S ribosomal RNA
Rfam family: Bacterial small subunit ribosomal RNA
Source: RNAcentral
GUACACUCCUGCGGGAGGCAGCAGUGGGGAAUAUUGCACAAUGGGCGCAAGCCUGAUGCAGCCAUGCCGCGUGUAUGAAGAAGGCCUUCGGGUUGUAAAGUACUUUCAGCGGGGAGGAAGGUGUUGAGGUUAAUAACCUCAGCAAUUGACGUUACCCGCAGAAGAAGCACCGGCUAACUCCGUGCCAGCAGCCGCGGUAAUACGGAGGGUGCAAGCGUUAAUCGGAAUUACUGGGCGUAAAGCGCACGCAGGCGGUCUGUCAAGUCGGAUGUGAAAUCCCCGGGCUCAACCUGGGAACUGCAUUCGAAACUGGCAGGCUAGAGUCUUGUAGAGGGGGGUAGAAUUCCAGGUGUAGCGGUGAAAUGCGUAGAGAUCUGGAGGAAUACCGGUGGCGAAGGCGGCCCCCUGGACAAAGACUGACGCUCAGGUGCGAAAGCGUGGGGAGCAAACAGGAUUAGAAACCCCAGUAGUCCCAUG